This 482-nucleotide ribosomal RNA is filed under the name uncultured bacterium. RNAcentral's name for it is "partial 16S ribosomal RNA". It matches the Rfam family "Bacterial small subunit ribosomal RNA", at positions 28 to 507 of the family's 1533-position model. The record is from RNAcentral.
GAUGAACGCUAGCGGCAGGCCUAAUACAUGCAAGUCGAACGAGAUUACGAGGCUUGCUUCUUAUUAAAGUGGCGCACGGGUGCGUAACGCGUAUGCAACCUACCUUAAUCAGGGGGAUAGCCCGAAGAAAGUCGGAUUAACAACGCAUAAAAACACAGGAUAACAUUAUCCAUUGUUCAAAUAUUUAUAGGAUUAUGACGGGCAUGCGUGGCAUUGUCUAGCUGGCGGGGUAACGGCACACCAAGGCGACGAUGACUAGGGGAUCUGAGAGGAUGACCCCCCACACUGGUACUGCGACACAGACCACACUCCUACGGGAGGCAGCAGUAAGGAAUAUUAGUCACUGGAGGGUACUCUGAACCAGCCAUGCCGCGUGCAGGAAGACAGCCCUCUGGGUCGUAAACUGCUUUUAUUCGGGAAUAAACCUUUCUACGUGUAGGAAGCUGAAUGUACCGAAGGAAUAAGGAUCGGCUAACUCCGUG